UGAAGAGCAAUGGACGGUGAGAACAUCCUGCCAGUGGGGUUUUGGGUCGCUCUCGCUCCACCACUCUGCCUCUUUCUGUCACUCCCCCACAUUGUUUAUGGGGAAGUGACCUAUCUACCAUAUGGCUUUCAAUUCCUGCCAAAAAAGCACUUUGGCGGUAGAUAAAGAGGACAGUGUACCCAAGAGCAGAAUGUAAAUUUGAGGUUAUGACAUAUUAGCCAUUUUACAAGCAGCAAGAAUCACAUUAUUUGGAUGAAGAGUAGACUGAGGUAUGGAUUUUGAAUGAGAUUAAACCCGUGCAUUAAUUCAUUGUUAGUUUUGCUUCAAGUCAUCUUUGCUUCUAGCAUUUGCGUUGGAGUCAAUCAGAAUGGAGGGCAGCUGAAGAUUCCUCAGGAGGCAGCUAGGAAUCUCAUGGCAGGCAGGAUGUACCGAAGCACCAAGGAGCCAAACCCAAACCCUCAGCUCCUACAGAGUCAUCACACCAGCACUUUAUUUACAUCUCAGUCACAGUGGAGAGACAGUGUGAAAAAGACGCAGCCAGCACCGAUUUAUGAAGGGCCGAGUUUGUUACCGUGUCUUUGGAGACAUCUGGAGAGACUCCUUUGGAAGUUUUACUUGGACUCGCCUAGUGUUGAAUAUCCUGCACACAACUGCCUUUCACAGCGGGCCGGAGGAGGCCGGCAGCAAGCAGCACCACGCACAGCAAAAUGCCCGUCGGCACGCGCAGAGCAGGAAGGCUCAUGCCUGACGGCCACUUGUGCUUUUCAGGCACUUAAGCUCUAAUUUGACAACCACUAUUAAUAAUUAGAAUUUAACAAAAAAAGUUCAAUAGGAAUAAUAAUAAUAAUAUCCAUCCAUAUUCUAUCCUCUAAUCCUUAUUAAGAUCACAGGGGGCCUGGAUCCUAUCCAGGGGCAAACCUUAAUAAAUAAUAAUAAUAAUAAUAAUAAUAAUAAUCAUAAUCGAGUGAAAAUAAUCCAGUUCUGAAAAGCAAUAAUUUAUGAAUAUACCAGUUAUGUGUACAUAACUUCCCUUUUGCACAUUGAUGCAUUAGCUAUAAUAGCUAUAAUUAGCUAUAAUAAUUUUCAGCUUAAUCAACAAUUAACAUACAGAAUAUACAAUUUGUGCAUUUUAUGUGAGUUAUCUUCCCUUUGAGAGCUUUUACCAUAACAAAAGGAAUAAGACAACAAGUGACAGACCUUGCCAAUCAAAUCAAAUUCAAUCAAAUCAAAAUAGCUAAUUAACAUUUCAGGUUCUGGAAUGGUGGCUUGAUUGGCAAUCAAGCCACCAUUCCAGAACCUGAAAUGUCAAUUAGCUAUUUUUUUCAUAUAUUUUCAUUCCCCUGCAGGACUGAAAUAUAA
Molecule: non-coding RNA, 1359 nt
Organism: Paramormyrops kingsleyae
Lineage: Eukaryota; Metazoa; Chordata; Actinopteri; Osteoglossiformes; Mormyridae
Source: RefSeq, a predicted model, not a curated record